This 251-nucleotide ribosomal RNA is filed under the name uncultured prokaryote. RNAcentral's name for it is "partial 16S rRNA". It matches the Rfam family "Bacterial small subunit ribosomal RNA", at positions 525 to 775 of the family's 1533-position model. The record is from RNAcentral.
ACAGAGGGUCCGAGCGUUAUCCGGAUUUAUUGGGUUUAAAGGGUGCGUAGGCGGUUUUAUAAGUCAGCGGUGAAAUUUUCCGGCUCAACCGGGAUACUGCCGUUGAUACCGUAAGGCUAGGAUAUGGUUGCUGUGGGUGGAAUGUGUGGUGGAGCGGUGAAAUGCUUAGUGAUCACACAGAAUAUCGAUUGCGAAGGCAGCUCACAAAGCCAUUAUUGACGCUGGUGCACGUGAGUGUGGAGAUCAAACAA